UACAGAGGAUGCAAGCGUUAUCCGGAAUGAUUGGGCGUAAAGCGUGCGUAGGUGGUUUUGUAAGUCUGCUGUUAAAGCGUUAGGCUCAACCUAAUAAGGGCAGUGGAAACUAUGAGACUAGAGUAUGUUAGGGGUAGAGGGAAUUCCCAGUGUAGCGGUGAAAUGCGUAGAGAUUGGGAAGAACACCGGUGGCGAAAGCGCUCUGCUAGGACAAUACUGACACUGAGAGACGAAAGCUAGGGGAGCGAAUGGG
Molecule: ribosomal RNA, 253 nt
Filed under: uncultured bacterium
Lineage: Bacteria
Description: partial 16S ribosomal RNA
Rfam family: Bacterial small subunit ribosomal RNA
Source: RNAcentral